CCCUGGUGGCGAGUGGCGAACGGGUGAGUAAUACAUCGGAACGUGUCCUGUAGUGGGGGAUAGCCCGGCGAAAGCCGGAUUAAUACCGCAUACGCUCUACGGAGGAAAGGGGGGGAUCUUAGGACCUCUCGCUACAGGGGCGGCCGAUGGCAGAUUAGCUAGUUGGUGGGGUAAAGGCCUACCAAGGCGACGAUCUGUAGCUGGUCUGAGAGGACGACCAGCCACACUGGGACUGAGACACGGCCCAGACUCCUACGGGAGACAGCAGUGGGGAAUUUUGGACAAUGGGGGCAACCCUGAUCCAGCAAUGCCGCGUGUGUGAAGAAGGCCUUCGGGUUGUAAAGCACUUUUGUCCGGAAAGAAAUCUUCUGCCCUAAUACGGCGGGAGGAUGACGGUACCGGAAGAAUAAGCACCGGCUAACUACGUGCCAGCAGCCGCGGUAAUACGUAGGGUGCAAGCGUUAAUCGGAAUUACUGGGCGUAAAGCGUGCGCAGGCGGUCCGCUAAGACAGAUGUGAAAUCCCCGGGCUUAACCUGGGAACUGCAUUUGUGACUGGCGGGCUAGAGUAUGGCAGAGGGGGGUAGAAUUCCACGUGUAGCAGUGAAAUGCGUAGAGAUGUGGAGGAAUACCGAUGGCGAAGGCAGCCCCCUGGGCCAAUACUGACGCUCAUGCACGAAAGCGUGGGGAGCAAACAGGAUUAGAUACCCUGGUAGUCCACGCCCUAAACGAUGUCAACUAGUUGUCGGGUCUUCAUUGACUUGGUAACGAAGCUAACGCGUGAAGUUGACCGCCUGGGGAGUACGGUCGCAAGAUUAAAACUCAAAGGAAUUGACGGGGACCCGCACAAGCGGUGGAUGGUGUGGAUUAAUUCGAUGCAACGCGAAAAACCUUACCUACCCUUGACAUGUCUAGAAUUUUGCAGAGAUGUGAAAGUGCUCGAAAGAGAACUAGAACACAGGUGCGGCAUGGCCGUC
This 975-nucleotide ribosomal RNA is filed under the name Paraburkholderia phenazinium. RNAcentral describes it as "bacterial SSU rRNA". It matches the Rfam family "Bacterial small subunit ribosomal RNA", at positions 83 to 1053 of the family's 1533-position model. Lineage: Bacteria; Pseudomonadati; Pseudomonadota; Betaproteobacteria; Burkholderiales; Burkholderiaceae. The record is from RNAcentral.